CUACGGGAGGCAGCAGUGAGGAAUAUUGCACAAUGGGGGGAACCCUGAUGCAGCAACGCCGCGUGGAGGAUGACGCAUUUCGGUGUGUAAACUCCUUUUAUAUACCAAGAUAAUGACGGUAGUAUAUGAAUAAGCACCGGCUAACUCCGUGCCAGCAGCCGCGGUAAGACGGAGGGUGCAAGCGUUACUCGGAAUCACUGGGCGUAAAGGACGCGUAGGCGGGUUGGAAAGUCAGGUGUGAAAUCCUACAGCUUAACUGUAGAACUGCACUUGAAACUUCUAAUCUAGAGUAUGGGAGGGGGAGAUGGAAUUAGUGGUGUAGGGGUAAAAUCCGUAGAUAUCACUAGGAAUACCUAAAGCGAAGGCGAUCUCCUGGAACAUUACUGACGCUAAGGCGUGAAAGCGUGGGGAGCAAACAGGAUUAGAUACCCGAGUAGUC
RNAcentral lists this ribosomal RNA (439 nucleotides) under uncultured bacterium. RNAcentral's name for it is "partial 16S ribosomal RNA". It matches the Rfam family "Bacterial small subunit ribosomal RNA", at positions 339 to 795 of the family's 1533-position model. The record is from RNAcentral.